Nannospalax galili (Upper Galilee mountains blind mole rat) is the source of this 612-nucleotide long non-coding RNA. RefSeq lists it as uncharacterized. The record is from RefSeq and is a predicted model, not a curated record. Lineage: Eukaryota; Metazoa; Chordata; Mammalia; Rodentia; Spalacidae. The transcript is spliced from 3 exons.
GCUUUAAAGCUAAAUUUGGAAUAAUUUAUUACUCAGCAAUAGGUAACUAGCAUGAAGGCUUGGAAAAGAUGAAGACACACAGAUCAUAAGCAGCAGAAAGAGCUGGAUGCCUGCGUCUCUGACACUCUGGUCCUUUCUAGCACACCCUGUGAUCUGAGCCAAGACCAGCUUUGACGGAUGAAAGCACUGAGGGCUUGAAAAACUUUUUCUUCAAAAGACCAGAUAUUAAAUAUUUUGAUCCUGUGGCUCACAUGGUCUCUGUGACAGUUAACAAUCCCACUAUAGCAGCCAGAGACAAGAACGAUGUAAAUGAAUGGGGCGUGUGUGAGGUACUGUCCGUUUUGGCCGGCUGGCACCGGCAUAGUGACACCACUGCAUUCCCUGGUGUUUCCAGCAGCUUCUGACAGGAGGAGGAGGGGCGUCAGACACAGAGCUGUUACGGAGAAUCAUUUGUGGACCAACCCUGCUCUGAUCACAGAGGCUGCACUGAUCCUGAGUUCUGCAGACACAUAACAGAGUUGGCAGCUAGGAGGCAUGGAUACCACACAGAAGAGAUCCUGCCCUCAUGGAGUUGACAGCUGAGGAAAGCAGCAGGAGAUAUGACACCCAUGG